RNAcentral lists this ribosomal RNA (163 nucleotides) under uncultured eukaryote. Its description in RNAcentral is "partial 18S ribosomal RNA". It matches the Rfam family "Eukaryotic small subunit ribosomal RNA", at positions 1299 to 1458 of the family's 1831-position model. The record is from RNAcentral.
UGGUGGAUUGAUUUGUCUUCUUAAUUGAGAUAACGAACGAGACUCUGUCCUGCUAAAUAGACCCUACCUAACUCUUGUGGCAACGCAAGGCCGGGUAAAAACUUGUCGGGUUUCUUCUUGGAGGGACUGGCGAUGAUUAGUCGCACGAGAUUGAGCAAUAACA